RNAcentral lists this ribosomal RNA (253 nucleotides) under uncultured bacterium. RNAcentral describes it as "partial 16S ribosomal RNA". It matches the Rfam family "Bacterial small subunit ribosomal RNA", at positions 524 to 776 of the family's 1533-position model. The record is from RNAcentral.
UACGAAGGGGGCUAGCGUUGCUCGGAAUCACUGGGCGUAAAGCGCACGUAGGCGGACUCUUAAGUCGGUGGUGAAAUCCUGGAGCUCAACUCCAGAACUGCCUUCGAUACUGAGAGUCUUGAGUCCGGGAGAGGUGAGUGGAAUUCCCAGUGUAGCGGUGAAAUGCGUAGAUAUUGGGAGGAACACCAGUGGCGAAGGCGGCUCACUGGACCGGAACUGACGCUGAGGCGCGAAAGCGUGGGGAGCAAACGGG